This 5511-nucleotide long non-coding RNA is filed under the name Podarcis lilfordi (Lilford's wall lizard). Lineage: Eukaryota; Metazoa; Chordata; Lepidosauria; Squamata; Lacertidae. The record is from RNAcentral.
GUUUGCGAAGAUUUUAUAAUCCACAUUAAGUAAUGAGAUUGGUCUAUAAUUUUUUACAUCAGAUCUAUCUUGAUCUAUUUUUGGAAUCAGAGUGAUAAAUGCAUCUUUCCAGGUUUCGGGAGCUUUGUCCCCUCUUAGAAUCUUAUUACACACAUCUGCCAACGGUUGAAUUAGCCAAUCUUUCAAUAUUUUUAUUUUAUUUUAUUUUUUAUAAUAUUUUUAUUCAUUUUCCAAUACAAAAUUAUACAAUCAAAACAUCUUAUUUGUCACCAAUUUCUCCUUUUUGACUUCCCUCAACUCGCCUGCCAAUCCUUCAUAUUACUUACUUCUUCCACAUUUCUUAAAUUAAUAUUGCACUAGAAUAUUAUUUAACUUUUUAUCUUGUUUUUUUAAAAAACAAUAUUUCUGACUUUUCUUAUCACAAAACUUCCUUAAAACUUACAAACGUUAUCUCAUCAUCACUUAAUUUUUGCAUAUAUUCUGUAAAUUUUCUCCAGUCUUCUGUGAAUCUCUGGUCGCGUCGAUUCCGGAUCCUUCCUGUUAGUUUAUCGAGUUCCGCAUAGUCCAUCAUUUUCAUUCUCCAUUCUUCUAUCGUAGGUAGCUCUUCUUGUUUCCAUUUCUGGGCCAUCAAUAUUCUUGCUGCUGUCACCGCGUAUAAGAAUAAUUUCCUUUCUUUCUUUUUUAUUUCAUUACCUAUUAUUCCUAGUAAAAACGCUUCUGGUUUCUUAACAAAUGUAUAUUUCAACAUUUUCUUCAAUUCAUUAUAUAUCAUUUCCCAAAAGCUUUUUACUUUUUUACAUUCCCACCACAUAUGAUAAAACGUUGCUUCCUUUUCUUUACAUUUCCAACAUUUAUUACUUAUCUUAUACAUCUUUGCUAAUUUCACUGGUGUUAUAUGCCAUCUAUACAUCAUCUUCAUCACAUUUUCUUUUAUUAUAGUACACGCAGUAAAUCUUAUUCCUUCCUUCCACAGUUUUAACCAAUCAUCUAUUUGUAUAUUAUAACCAAAAUCUUUGGCCCAGUCAAUCAUAACCGAUUUCACCUCUUCAUCCUUUGUAUACCAUUCCAAUAAUAACUUAUACAUUCUUGCUAAGCUUUUAGUUUCAUUGUUCAAUAUUUCUUUCUGAAAUUUUGAUUCUUUAUCAGAAAAACCCCUUUGUAUCAUAUCUUUCUUAAACAUUUCAUUGAUUUCAAAAUAAUGCAGCCAAUCAUUAACAUAUUCUUUAACCUCUUCAUAUGGUCUCAUUUUCCAUUUACUUCCUGCCCUCGUUAUUAACUUCUCAUAAGUCGCCCAUCCCCCCCUCAUAUUGAUCUUCUUUACACUCAUCGCCUCCAGUGGCGAUAGCCAAUAUGGAGUUUUUGGCUCCAAUAGAUUUUUAUACCUCUCCCAAACUUCAAUAAGAGACCUUCGUAUUAUGUGGUUUUCAAAACCUUUAUGCACACGUUUCUUGUCAUACCACAAAUAUGCGUGCCACCCAAAUCUAUUAUCAAAACCUUCCAAAUCUAACAAUUCUGUAUUUUCUAGUUUCAUCCAUUCUUUUAACCAACAGAGGCAUGGUGCUUCAUAAUAUAAUUUCAAGUCUGGCAGGGCGAAGCCUCCUCUUUCUUUUGCAUCUGUCAAUAACUUAAACUUUAUUCUCGGCUUCUUACCCUGCCAGAUAUACCUUGAAAUUACUCUCUGCCAUUCUUUAAAAGUUACUGCGCCUUUAAUUAUUGGAAUUGUUUGAAACAAAAAUAGCAAUUUCGGUAGCACACUCAUCUUUAUUGUUGCAAUUCUUCCCCAAAAUGACAAUUUCAUUCUUCCCCACACCUCCAAGUCUCUUUUGAUCUUAUUCCAAAUUGGGGAAUAAUUAUUCUGAAAUAGGUCAAUACUCUUGGGGGUUAACCAAACUCCUAAAUAUUUAACUUUCUUGACUACUUCCAUCUCUGUUUGUUGCUGCAUUUUAUCAAUUAUUUCUUGAUCCAUAUUUUUGGCAAUUAUUUUGGUUUUUUUCUUAUUCAAUUUAAAUCCCGCCACCUGACCAAACUGAUCUAUUUCUUUCAGCACUUCUGUUACAGUAUUUAUGGGAUCCUCCACAGUAAUAACCAAGUCAUCAGCAAAGGCCUUAACCUUAUAUUCAUUACAGCCCACAGUCACACCUUUUAUUUGUUCAUUACUUCUUAUUGCCCUUAGAAAGACCUCCAGGACCGCAAUGAAUAACAAUGGUGAGAGAGGACACCCUUGUUUUGUACCUUUAGUUAUUGUAAUAUUUUCUGUUGUCACAUUGUUAACUAUUAGUUUUGCUCUUUGUUCUGUAUAUAUUGCCUUAAUACCAUUUAAAAACAAUUGUCCCAUAUCCAUCAUUUCUAAGUUUUUUAUCAAAGGCCUUCUCUGCAUCCACAAAUAUUAACAUUGCUUGUUUAUCAUUCCUGGCAGUCAGAUAUUCCAUUAUAUUAAUUAUAUUUCUUAUGUUACCUUUCAUCUGCCUGCCUGGAAGAAAACCUGCUUGAUCGUUAUGUAUCAAUUCUUUUAAUACCUUUUUCAUCCUAUUUGCUAAUAUACUUGCAAACAAUUUAUAAUCAUCAUUCAAAAGCGAAAUAGGCCUAUAGUUUUUAACUUGAGACAAAUCAGAAUCUUGUUUAGGGAUAAAAGUAAUAUAAGCUUCCUUCCAUGUUUCUAGUAUUUCUUUUUUUGUUAAAAUAUUAUUCAUCACUUCUUUCAACGGUACGAGUAGAAUGUCUUUCAUUUCUUUAUAAAACCUCGCACUAAAUCCAUCCGGCCCUGGCAUCUUUCCACUUUUCAAUUCUUUAAUUGCACAGUUAAUUUCUUCUAUCUUGAUUGUCUUGUUCAGUUUAUUCUUUUUCUCCAUCGGAUUUUUCUGCACCUCUUUUUCCUUUAAAAAAUCUUCUAUUUUUUAAUAUUACCUUUUUCUUUUCUUUUAUAUAAAUGUCUCUAGAAAUCCACAAAUCCUUUUCUAAUUCCUUUCGGAUUAUCUAUCUCUUGAUCUUCAACUAUAAUUUUUUGAAUUGUGUUUUGCUCUUUCCUUUUUUUAAUCUGCCAAGCCAGAAAUUUUCCUGAUUUAUUUGCAAACUCAAAAUUCCUCUGUCUCAUCCUUUUGAUGUUCCAUUCUACUUCUUUGUUUAUUAUCAUCGCAAAUUGUGAUUGUAGAGUUUUAAUAUUCAAUUUCAAUUUCUUGUCCUCGGGUCUGGUAAUUAACUUCUUCUCAUUCUCCAUUAUUUGUUUUAAGAUUUCUUUUCCCCCCUUUUCUCUAAAUUUAUUUUUGAUUGUAUUUUGUUGAAUAAAGAAACCUCUCAUCACUGCUUUACCAGCGUCCCAGACUGUACUCAUUUUUGUUCCUUGAUUUAUAUUAUUUAUGAAGUAGUCCUUCAAACACUUUUGCAUGGUUUCCACUAUUUUCUGAUCAUCAAAUAUAUUUUCAUUUAUUCUCCACCGGAAAGAUUUUUCCUCAAAUCCUCUUACUAUGCAUUUUAUCGCAUUAUGAUCCGAAAGUACUUUAGGUUGGAUUUCAAUCUUUGAUAUUAUUGGUGUUAAUUCAUUAGAUAUCCAUAUCUGAUCAAUUCUGGACAUUGACUGAUUUGCCUCAGAAUGGAAGGUGAAUUGUUUUUCUAAUGGGUGUCUCAGUCUCCAAAUAUCAAUUAAAUUGCAGUUUUCUACCAUUGAAAAGAAUGUUUUUGGUAGCUUUCCUUCCUUUGUUUUCCCUGUUGCUCUUAAUCUAUCCAUUUCCAUUGACACUACUGCAUUCAUAUCACCCAUUAUUAUAAUCUUUUGAUCCAAAUAUUCAAAUAGUCUUUCCUCCAAAUCUUUGAAAAUGUCCAUUUUAUUAUCAUUAGGUGCAUACACUCCGACAAUUAUUAAUUUUUCGCCUUGCCAUUUUACUUGUACUGCAACAAUUCUGCCCUCUUCGUCCUUGAAAAUCUAUUGAGCCUCCAAUUUAUUUUUUAUGUAUAAUACCACCCCUCUCUUUUUGCUUUUAUCAGAUGAAAUAAAUUCAUUUCCUAAUUUUUUAUUAAUUAAAAUUUUUCUAUGUUUUCUCGUCACAUGUGUCUCCUGUAAACAAAUAAUGUCUAAAUUCUUUUUUUUAAAGUAUUGUUGAAUUUUAUUUCGUUUUUUUCCUAUCGUUCAUCCCAUUAACAUUCCAAGUCCAUAGUUUCAACGCCAUGAUGAUUCCCAAUUAAUUUUAUUAAUAAAUUUUUAAUUCUGUUUCUCCUCUUCCUCUUCUUUUUCCUCCUCUUCCUCCCUAUCCUCUUCAGAUUCUUGAGAGCCUCCUCCUUCCGCCCCUGCUCCCAUCGCUGCCACUUCUUCUUCUUCUCUUCCUAACUCUCUGUAUCUUCUCAGGAACUUGUCCAUUUCGUCUGGUCUUGUAAGCCUAUGUCUUUUCCCUUUAUAAGAAAAUGAAAGCCCCUCUGGAAAUUCCCACUUAAAUUCAAUUUUGUUUUUCCUCAAUAUUUGCACCAGCUGUUUAUAUUGGUCGCGUUUUUUUAAUAAACAAAGUGGGACGUCUUUAAAAAUAAUUAUAUAAUUUCCAUCAAUAUUCAAUCUUUUUUCUCUAUUCUUUUGCAAAAUUAAAUUCCUUAUUUCUCUAUGCUUAAAAAUAAUCAGACAAUCUCCGGGAAAUUUCUUUGCUUUAGUUGUCCUGACCUUAAUUCUGAAAGCGUUUUGUAUUGUCUUUGCGACGUCCUCCUCUUGCAUCUCUAACCAUUGGGCAAUCUCUGUACUCAAUUUCUCCUUUAUUCUUUCUCCUUGAACCUCUGGCACCGAUCUAAAUCUCAGAUUAUUUUCUCUCUGCCUCAGUUCAUUCAUGGCAAUUGCGUCCCACAGUUCCUCUUGUGCUCUAUUCACCUCUGACACCUCUGCUUUGAUUUUCUCUUCUUUUUUAAUUUCCCUAACAUCUAAUUUGGUCUUUUUCAUCCCUUCUUCCAAAUUUUGUGUCCUUUUUGUCAUCUCUACAUUUGUCCUUUUAUCUCAUUAACCGUUUCAUCAGUUUUAUUAACAGUCACAUCUAUUUUUUUAUCCAUUUGUUCCAAUUUUGUUUCAAUAUUUUUCUCACUUUUUUUUAUUUCUAACUUAAUAUCUGAUUUAAGCUCUGUAAACAUCUUUAUUAAGUCUCCUUUAAUUUCAGAUUCUUGCCUAGAACUCUUCCUUUCUGCAGGUGUCCCUCCUUCACCUUUCUUCUGUAUGUGAGACAUUCUGAUUAAAUAUCUUCUGCCACCUAUGUAACUGUUCCAAUUUAGCUCCAAUAAAAGUAUCCACCAGAGGGAGCUAACUAAAAACAAAAACCCAAGGCCACAAGAUCCGGAAUUUAGAGCAAUUAAAAAUUCAGAGGGUUACUUCACUUUCUUCUUGCCACUUGGAUGGCCACAUCCAAUAUUUUUAAUUAUAUUCCACAAAACCACUAACACACAAAAAAAGUCCCUCUCUCUUUAAAAAGUUUUAAAAUAAAGGCAAAACCAAAAUAAAAAUUCCCAAACCAAGUCCCUCAAAAGAAGCAAAGAGAAACAAAAAGUCUAUCC